GUGCUCGAUUCGGCAGAACGUAUACUAAAAUUGAAAUGAUACAGAGAAGGUAUUAGCAUGGCCCCUGCGCAAGAAUGACACGCAAAUUCGUGAAGUGUUUCAUAUUUAA
Small nuclear RNA from Suncus etruscus (white-toothed pygmy shrew), 109 nucleotides. The record is from RefSeq and is a predicted model, not a curated record. Lineage: Eukaryota; Metazoa; Chordata; Mammalia; Eulipotyphla; Soricidae.